UACGGCGAGUGAAGCGGCAAAAGCUCAAAUUUGAAAUCUGGUACCUUCGGUGCCCGAGUUGUAAUUUGGAGAGGGCAACUUUGGGGCCGUUCCUUGUCUAUGUUCCUUGGAACAGGACGUCAUAGAGGGUGAGAAUCCCGUGUGGCGAGGAGUGCGGUUCUUUGUAAAGUGCCUUCGAAGAGUCGAGUUGUUUGGGAAUGCAGCUCUAAGUGGGUGGUAAAUUCCAUCUAAAGCUAAAUAUUGGCGAGAGACCGAUAGCGAACAAGUACAGUGAUGGAAAGAUGAAAAGAACUUUGAAAAGAGAGUGAAAAAGUACGUGAAAUUGUUGAAAGGGAAGGGCAUUUGAUCAGACAUGGUGUUUUGUGCCCUCUGCUCCUUGUGGGUAGGGGAAUCUCGCAUUUCACUGGGCCAGCAUCAGUUUUGGUGGCAGGAUAAAUCCAUAGGAAUGUAGCUUGCCUCGGUAAGUAUUAUAGCCUGUGGGAAUACUGCCAGCUGGGACUGAGGACUGCGACGUAAGUCAAGGAUGCUGGCAUAAUGGUUAUAUGCCGCCCGUCUUG
Molecule: ribosomal RNA, 557 nt
Filed under: Saccharomyces sp. Z5Y40
Lineage: Eukaryota; Fungi; Ascomycota; Saccharomycetes; Saccharomycetales; Saccharomycetaceae
Description: eukaryotic LSU rRNA
Rfam family: Eukaryotic large subunit ribosomal RNA
Source: RNAcentral